This 115-nucleotide small nuclear RNA is filed under the name Suricata suricatta (meerkat). RNAcentral describes it as "U4 spliceosomal RNA (ENSSSUG00005003060.1)". The stretch from base 1 to 65 matches the Rfam family "U4 spliceosomal RNA". Rfam says of the family: U4 small nuclear RNA (U4 snRNA) is a component of the major U2-dependent spliceosome. The structure of U4 snRNA from yeast and human has been reported. The record is from RNAcentral. Lineage: Eukaryota; Metazoa; Chordata; Mammalia; Carnivora; Herpestidae.
AGCUUUGUGCAGUGGCAGUAUCGUAGCCAAUGAGGUUUAUCUGAGGCGCGAUUAUUGCUAAUUAAUGUUAGUGUAGUUUUAAAGGUGAGUACCAAUUAUUCUAACAAUCAGGGUC